GACAGAGGUGCCGAGCGUUAGGCGGAAUCACUGGGCUUAAAGCGUGUGUAGGCGGAUCUGUAAGUACCUUGUGAAAUCCCACGGCUCAACCGUGAAACUGCUUGGUAUACUGCGGGUCUUGAGCCACCUAGGGGCAAGUGGAACAAACGGUGGAGCGGUGAAAUGCGUAGAUAUCGUUUGGAACGCCAAUGGUGAAAACAACUUGCUGGGGUGUGCUGACGCUGAGACACGAAAGCCAGGGGAGCAAACGGG
RNAcentral lists this ribosomal RNA (252 nucleotides) under uncultured bacterium. RNAcentral describes it as "partial 16S ribosomal RNA". It matches the Rfam family "Bacterial small subunit ribosomal RNA", at positions 524 to 776 of the family's 1533-position model. The record is from RNAcentral.